UAUUUCGAAAGGAAAAAGCCAGAAGAAAUAAAUAAAUUUAUAUUUUGGAUAUUUCUUAAAUGGCAACAGCACAUACCAAAAUUUAAGAUAAUCGACUAGUAGUCUUGGUCCUUUUUAAAUUUCAUUAAUAUAUAACAUACCUUUUACAAAAUAUUGGAUGAUAGUAAAAAAAAAAACAUACUUACCAAGAUUUAAGAUAAAUGACUGGUAGUCUUGGUCCUUCUUAAAGGAAAAUCAGAUGACAGUAAUAAGAGGAUUCGAGGAUAAUUUUCUGGAGGAUUCAUUUGCAACGUUUGCUCCAUGGGGUACAAAUCCGAAAGCAGUCUCAAGAGCCACAAGAGGUACGAAUGCGGGAAGAUGGCUCAGUUUAAAUGCGACUUAUGCAACUUCAAGACAAAGCGCAAGUACAAUUACAACCGGCACAGAGUUAUCGUACAUGCGCUACCCAUGAGCGAUUUCAUCCGAACUGAGAGCUUUAAUUAAUAAAUACAAAGAUGUACAUCAAAUCUGACUCAAACUUGAAGGAUACUGUUUAUUUUAUUCAUAAAAUAAAAAACGUUAUAUUUUUGUUUUAAUAAAAAUGUAUGAGGUCUA
Long non-coding RNA from Cimex lectularius (bed bug), 594 nucleotides. RefSeq lists it as uncharacterized. NCBI's taxonomy places the organism in Eukaryota, Metazoa, Arthropoda, Insecta, Hemiptera, Cimicidae. The record is from RefSeq and is a predicted model, not a curated record. The transcript has 2 exons.